GCUGUAGCUCAGCGGUAGAGCGCAUGCUUGGCAUGCCAAAGGUCUCAGGUUCAAUUCCCGGCAUCUCCA
Non-coding RNA from Podarcis lilfordi (Lilford's wall lizard), 69 nucleotides. The record is from the annotation of a GenBank genome assembly. NCBI's taxonomy places the organism in Eukaryota, Metazoa, Chordata, Lepidosauria, Squamata, Lacertidae.